This 497-nucleotide ribosomal RNA is filed under the name uncultured bacterium. Its description in RNAcentral is "partial 16S ribosomal RNA". It matches the Rfam family "Bacterial small subunit ribosomal RNA", at positions 28 to 507 of the family's 1533-position model. The record is from RNAcentral.
GAUGAACGCUGGCGGCGUGCCUAAUACAUGCAAGUCGAGCGAACGGACGAGAAUCUUGCUUCUCUGAUGUUAGCGGCGGACGUGUGAGUAACACGUGUAUAACCUACCUAUAAGACUGGGAUAACUUCGGGAAACCGGAUCUAAUACCGUAUAAUAUUUUGAACCGCAUGGUUCAAAAGUGAAAGACGGUCUUUCUGUCACUUAUAGAUGGAUCCGCGCUGCAUUAGCUAGUUGGUAAGGUAACGGCUUACCAAGGCAACGAUGCAUAGCCGACCUGAGAGGGUGAUCGGCCACCCUGGAACUGAGCCACGGUCCAGACUCCUACGGGAGGCAGCAGUAGGGAAUCUUCCGCAAUGGGCGAAAGCCUGACGGAGCAACGCCGAGUGAGUGAUGAAGGUCUUCGGAUCGUAAAACUCUGUUAUUAGGGAAGAACAUAUGUGUAAGUAACUGUGCACAUCUUGACGGUACCUAAUCAGAAAGCCACGGCUAACUACGUG